GUCGACGUAGCUCAGUGGAAGAGCAACCGCCUGUCGAGCGGUAGGCCGCGGGUUCGAUCCCCGUCGUCGGCG
Molecule: transfer RNA, 72 nt
Filed under: Couchioplanes caeruleus subsp. caeruleus
Lineage: Bacteria; Bacillati; Actinomycetota; Actinomycetes; Micromonosporales; Micromonosporaceae
Also listed under: 2 other names
Rfam family: tRNA
About the family: Transfer RNA (tRNA) molecules are approximately 80 nucleotides in length. Their secondary structure includes four short double-helical elements and three loops (D, anti-codon, and T loops).
Source: Rfam by way of RNAcentral